CAGUAACGGCGAGUGAAGCGGAAAAAGCCCAGCACCGAAUCCCCCAGUGUGACGCUGGCGGGAACUGUGGUGUGCGGGACGCCAUGAGCCGCAGCAGCGGGCGCCGAAGUUCUCCUGAUCGAGGCUUCACCCAGAGCGGGUGUAAGGCCUUUACGGGUGCUUUUGGCUGCGCGGCCGCGAGCGUCUCAGGAGUCGGGUUGUUUGGGAAUGCAGCCCUAAGCGGGUGGUAAACUCCAUCUAAGGCUAAAUACUUGCACGAGUCCGAUAGCGGACAAGUACCGUGAGGGAAAGUUGAAAAGAACUUUGAAGAGAGAGUUCAAGAGUACGUGAAACCGCUCAGAGGUAAACGGGUGGAUCCGCAAAGUCGGCCCGUGGAACUCAGCGCGGCGUCGUCGGAGCUGUCGCGGUUCGGGAUCCCUUUGUGACUCAGCCGCGGCGCCGCUCCGGUCUUCGUCGCGUGCACUUUCCACGGGCAGAGCGCCACGACCGGUUCGUGCCCGGCGGCCAGAAGCCCGGGUGGGGAAGGUAGGCGAGGUGCCUCGCGCAGCUCGCUGUUACAGCCCCCCCGCGGUGGGGCCGCUGCCGGACCGAGGGACGUCCGCGCUAGCCUUUCGAGGCCGCCCGGGUCCUCGCGGGGAGUUCGACUGGCAGAGACUGGGCAACCGUGUCUGCCGACCGCUCCCUCGCGACGGGCUCGGUGUCGGCCGGGGUGCGCUGAGGGUCUGUGGCGAAUCAGUCGGCAUUCCACCCGACCCGUCUUGAAACACGGACCAAGGAGUCUAGCGUGCGCGCGAGUCAAUGGGCGGUACGAAACCCAAAGGCGAAGUGAAAGCGAGGGUCGCCCCGGGCUGACCCAGGUGGGAUCCCUCCUCCCCCGCAUAGGGGUGGGGGGCGCACCACCGGCCCGUCCCGUCUGCGCCGUCAGUGGGGCGGAGCAUGAGCGCGCGCGCUGGGACCCGAAAGAUGGUGAACUAUGCCUGAGUAGAACGAAGCCAGAGGAAACUCUGGUGGAAGUCCGUAGCGAUUCUGACGUGCAAAUCGAUC
RNAcentral lists this ribosomal RNA (1044 nucleotides) under Tylodina perversa. RNAcentral describes it as "eukaryotic LSU rRNA". It matches the Rfam family "Eukaryotic large subunit ribosomal RNA", at positions 81 to 903 of the family's 3401-position model. Lineage: Eukaryota; Metazoa; Mollusca; Gastropoda; Umbraculida; Tylodinidae. The record is from RNAcentral.